This is a long non-coding RNA of Thunnus maccoyii (southern bluefin tuna), 3063 nucleotides long. RefSeq lists it as uncharacterized. NCBI's taxonomy places the organism in Eukaryota, Metazoa, Chordata, Actinopteri, Scombriformes, Scombridae. The transcript is spliced from 3 exons. The record is from RefSeq and is a predicted model, not a curated record.
UUGGUUUUGGCUACAACUGAAAUGACAGAGAGAAUCUGAGAGACUCUUACUGUGCUCUCAGCAUCACUCAUCACUGUAAGAAAUGGCAGAGUGCACAAGUGUGUUGUUGUCAUUUCAUUAGGAAACAUCAACACUUGACAAUGGGCCAACGGACGAAACCACGUCAAUGAUGACACAGUGGGGGAAAAAAAGACGUCUGAUUUGUUUUUCUGUCAGACCCAGAUCUGAUCUGUUCUAAUCAGUCAGAAGAGAAAAAGGCAGCACAGGGUCCAAUCUGUUCAAUUUCAAUCUGGACCACAUAGUGGCUGGAGAUCACAGCCCUGCCAGAAGAUUGACCUUGCCAGCUGGCUGAAGACAGCGCCCCCGCCGGAUAUGGAGGACCCGGGGCCACAGUCACACUGUGGAGGUUUACACAGUCAGAGCAUGGGAAGUAUGGAGUACCAUCAGACUGGAAUAAAUGUCUGUGAAGUGGGAAGGAACCCAAGCACAUGUUUUGGAUAUAGAGAUGGGCGAGAUAUGGAUGUGAAUGGAUUUUUAUCACCAUCCAGGCUGUGCCAGUAGAGCAAGGGAGCGUGAGCAGAGAUAAUUCACAUCCAGACCUGGAAGGUUUACUGUGUAGCGAAGGAGAAGCGUGCAUGACUCAAGGGCCCUGACAUAGUGGGGGAGAGUGAGCAUGGGGGAGGAGGGGGAGGGUGAAAGAGGCGAUGCUUGACCUUAGCUGAAGGGACGAGCCCCUAGGGGUCAGUCAUUCUGCUGAUUUCUUCCAUUUGGAGAAACAUCGCAGUGAGGCGAGAUGAUCCCGCCGUGCAGCAGGGACCAAACAAAUGCACACACGUCACCGAGACAAGCAGCUUGCUGUCGCUGUCUCACACCAUAACUUUCUUCCUCCUGCCUUGUUUUUUUCUCUGCUCUGCUCUGUUGCAUUACAGCCCAGUCACAUAAGGCUAAGACAGGUUCCUAACUACCUGAUUAAGGACAGACUUGUAAAUAUACAGAUAGACAUUUACAUUUGUGGUGUCAGACUAUUUUACAGAAUAGCACUGAAACAGCUCAUUUUGUGAAAAUGUAAACUCUAAGCGUGGACUGUGCAGUACCCGGCAUGCGAUCAAGAAGGCUGCUGUAGGAGAGGAAAGCAGGAAAAGCUGAGCGUGACGGUUCUUAAUUAAAACUUUUACAGUGUCUGCAUGUCGGUUAUCUGCUUCUUAGUGUUUUUUGGAAGAGAAAGUGUUUAGUUCGGGGGCCCAAGACUUUGCCCAAGAUUAUGUUUGCUACAUGCAUUGACAUAAAGUAGCAAACAUACAACCGACAUAGUAAUGUGUUAUGUUUUAUGCAUGAUUCCAUUGUGGAGUCUCUCCUUAUAUCCAGCAGGCCUUUUUAUAAACAUAAGUCUAAUGUGUACCAUGCUAAACCGGGUUGGAAUGACUAUGUAAAAGAGCUCCAUGCUGAGGCUAGAACGGCUUUUAAAGCAUGGGUAGAAUCAGGUAGAAAUGAACAUGGUCCCAUAUUUGAACAUAAGAAACGUGCAGAUGCUCAUUUUAAAUAUGCCCUUUGAUUUAUUAAAAGGUAUGAGAAUACAAUGAGAUCUGAUUCACUUGCGAGGAAGUUGCAAAAUAAUAGUCCUAAUGAUUUCUGGAAAGAAGUCAGAAUGAAUGAACAAUUGUAAAACGUCGCUACCAUUAAAUAUUGAUGGAGUAAGUGGCUCAGAAAAAAAUUCUCAGUUGUGACAGAAACAUUACUAUGAUCUGUUCAACUGUGUUAAAAGCAACUCGUUUAGUGUGGGCAACACAGACAAUAAUGAGGAGGUGAUUGUCACCCCACAAGACGUCCAAGACACUGUCAUGAAGCUAGGAGAUAAUAAGGCAUCUGGUAUGGAUAAUAUAACUGCUGAACAUUUAAAACAUGCUGGUAAAAAACUCUACCCUUUGCUUGCUAUUUGUUUUACUGGGUUAUUAGUCCAUGGUAUUCUACCUGACUCUAUUUUAUCUGUUAUACUAGUGUCUGUCAUUAAAGAUAAAGCUGGUAAACUAAACAGCUGGGAGAAUUACAGGCCUAUAGCCUUGGCCAGCAUUUUAUCCAAAGUGAUGACGAGAACGCUACUAAAUAGGCUGGAACAGUACAUCCUGACUUCUGACAACCAGUUUGGCUUUAAACGUAAACAUGGCACUGAUAUGUGCAUUUUUGCUGUAAAGGAGGUUUUAGAUAAAUACAAUAGGCAAAAUUCCACAAUUUUUAUGUGUUUUAUUGAUGCUUCUAAAGCCUUUGACCAUAAAAUCAUGAAAAACUAUUUAAUAAAUUACAUGAAAGAGGUGUUCCUAGAUUUCUAGUUAGAAUCCUGGUUUUUUGGUACGCUCAUCAGAUGAUGCAAAUUAGAUGGGGAAAUUCCGUAUCUGCUCCGUUCCAUGUGAAUAAUGGAGUUCGAAAAGGCAGUAUUAUGUCUCCUUUCCUUUUUAACAUCUAUAUGGAUGAUCUGUCACUGCAGUUGAAAAGCUGUGGAACAGGGUGUAUAGUUGGCAAUUCUAUCAUUAACCACCUCAUGUACGUGGAUGAUUUGGUGAUUUUCUGUCCAUGUAGUGCUAGUCUUCAACAGUUAUUGAGGGUAUGUUCACAAUAUGGUAUAGAUUUUGACAUCAAAUAUAAUGCAACUAAGAGUAAUAUUAUGUGUUCGGUGAAUGUGAAGAUCUCUCUUUUUAAAGCUUUUUGUACUCUACUACAUGCGGCCCACCUGUGGUGUUGCUACAGAAAAGGCAGCAUGCAGAGACUCACAGUGGCUUAUAAUGACAGUAUGAGGCUGCUGCUUAAAGCUCCAAGAAGCUGCAGCGCAAGCCAAAUGUUUGUUAAUGUUGGAGUACCUACCUGCUCUGCUGUAAUAUGAAAUCUUAUAUAUAGAUGUAUGUGCAGGUUAUCUGAUUCUGCUAACGGUAUUGUUUCAGCUUUGACCAAACCUGUACUGAGUUCCGUCAGGUUCUCAUCUAGACUGUGGAACCAUUGGCGUUAUAGCCUAAAUGCAGUUGCCUGAUUAUUGUGGAAUGCCUUUUGUUUUUUGAGAUUGUUUAUUAAUUUAUU